UUAAGUUCAGCGGGUAGUCCUACCUGAUCCGAGGUCAAGGUGUCAAGAGUUUUUUCUCCACAAGGGAAGAAGCUUUGUGAGCAGGCCGAUGGUUUCCGGACCGAGCGAAACGUAAGCACGCAAGGCCGUCCACCGACGGGACCGCUAAGGCAUUUGAGGUGAGCCAGACGGCAACACCCAAGUCCACUUCCAGCCGGGCA
RNAcentral lists this unclassified non-coding RNA (200 nucleotides) under Trimorphomyces sp. Its description in RNAcentral is "partial internal transcribed spacer 2". Lineage: Eukaryota; Fungi; Basidiomycota; Tremellomycetes; Tremellales; Trimorphomycetaceae. The record is from RNAcentral.